RNAcentral lists this unclassified non-coding RNA (345 nucleotides) under soil metagenome. Its description in RNAcentral is "partial contains 5.8S ribosomal RNA, internal transcribed spacer 2, and large subunit ribosomal RNA". The stretch from base 1 to 119 matches the Rfam family "5.8S ribosomal RNA", at positions 35 to 154 of the family's 154-position model. The record is from RNAcentral.
GAUGAAGAACGUAGCGAAAUGCGAUACGUAAUGUGAAUUGCAAAUUCAGUGAAUCAUCGAGUCUUUGAACGCACAUUGCGCCCCCUGGUAUUCCGGGGGGCAUGCCUGUCCGAGCGUCAUUGCUGCCCUCAAGCACGGCUUGUGUGUUGGGCCCCGUCCUCCGAUUCCGGAGGACGGGCCCGAAAGGCAGCGGCGGCACCGCGUCCGGUCCUCGAGCGUAUGGGGCUUUGUCACCCGCUCUGUAGGCCCGGCCGGCGCUUGCCGAUCAACCCAAAUUUUUAUCCAGGUUGACCUCGGAUCAGGUAGGGAUACCCGCUGAACUUAAGCAUAUCAAUAAGCGGAGGA